AUAUGAUGAAGUAAGUAAGGGCGUACGGUGAAUGCCUUGGUGCCAACAGGCGAAGAAGGACGCGGCAAGCUGCGAAAAACCUCGGGAAGCUGCAAGCAAGCGAUGAUCCGGGGGUAUCCGAAUGGGGUAACCUGAUCGAGGCAAUACUCGAUCGUUCAUACCUGAAUACAUAGGGUAUGAAACGCGAAACCCGCUGAAGUGAAACAUCUCAGUAAGCGGAGGAAAAGAAAGAGAAAUCGAUUCCGUAAGUAGUGGCGAGCGAAAGCGGAUGGAGCCCAAACCGAAGGUACUCCUUCGGGGUUGUAGGACCACGACAUAUUCGACCAUACUGGAUAGUAGAACAGCCUGGAAAGGCUGGCCAUAGAAGGUGAAAGCCCUGUAGACGAAAUCCAGAGUGGGAAUUAGUGGAAUCCUGAGUAAUACAUCACACGUGGAACGAUGUAUGAAUCCGCGCGGACCACCGCGCAAGGCUAAAUACUAGUUGGCGACCGAUAGUGAACAAGUACCGCGAGGGAAAGGUGAAAAGAACCGCUGUGAGCGGAGUGAAAUAGAACCUGAAACCGUAUGUCUACAAAGUGUCAGAGCAGAGCGAUCUGCGAUGGCGUGCCUUUUGUUUAAUGAGUCUGCGAGUCAGUGUUUGUGGCAAGACUAAGGGCUUCCGGCCCGGAGUCGCAGCGAAAGCAAGUCCGAAUAGGGCGAAUCAAGUCGCAGGUACUGGACCCGAAGCGGAGGUGACCUACCCUUGGCCAGGUUGAAGCAUGGGUAAAACCAUGUGGAGGACCGAACAGGUGAAC
This 794-nucleotide ribosomal RNA is filed under the name Bacteroides caccae. RNAcentral's name for it is "partial 23S ribosomal RNA". It matches the Rfam family "Bacterial large subunit ribosomal RNA", at positions 1 to 787 of the family's 2925-position model. Lineage: Bacteria; Pseudomonadati; Bacteroidota; Bacteroidia; Bacteroidales; Bacteroidaceae. The record is from RNAcentral.